Molecule: long non-coding RNA, 820 nt
Filed under: Gallus gallus (chicken)
Lineage: Eukaryota; Metazoa; Chordata; Aves; Galliformes; Phasianidae
Description: lncRNA (ENSGALG00010007227.1)
Source: RNAcentral
GGAGAUCACUCCUUUUGGAGUCCUUCUGUGAGCCCUGGAAACAGUUUAUCUUCUUGAUCAAACUGUCCCUGCAAGAGCUGCUGUCUGUGUCUUACCAGGGCUUUAAAGUACUGUAGGGAUUGCUUCCGUCCCUGAGCUGCUGCUCUGGUAAAACAAGGAAACACUGGAAACAAGCUGCAGGAAUGACAACUGGCUGGAAACAACAACAGCACUGGAAACAAGACACCAUUCCAACAGUUCUUUUUAUUUCGAAGUGUGUGCUGAGAUGGUCCGAUUCAAGGACCCGCUGCAAGCAUUGCUGUUCACUCUUUCAGCAGCCCCAUUAGGACUGAGCAAUACAAGCUUGCAGAACAUGUUACAGAUAGUAGCCACAACAUCUGUAAAUAGGCCAAAAAGAGUAUUUGUUAAACAGUUGUGUAGCAACACAGCAUUGAACUCAGGAUUAAGUUCGCUACUUUCUAGCCUAGUUCUCUUGAUGAACGUAUAUAUUUUUUCAGAUACAAUUUUGUCUGGAAAUGUUAUGUUUAUACUCAUGCUUUCUGCAUCUGUCAAUUAUACAGUGAACAAAUGUAAUGUUAUACUGUCAGGAACUAGAAUUGUUUGUCACUAUUAUAAGUAAGUAAUAGUUACUGGUAUGCAAAAUCUGCUAGUAGUAAUGUCAACUUGCAGCAAAUGUAUUAUAGCCUCUCUACCAUAUGUAAUGAUUGUAUUAUAAUAAUUUCCUCAGUUUUCCCAGAUGCAUAAGAGUGAUUAUAAUACCACUUGUUACAAAAGCUAAGGAAUUUGCUAAUAAAAAUGAACUCUAGACAUUGAUUCAUAG